Molecule: unclassified non-coding RNA, 203 nt
Filed under: root metagenome
Description: partial contains small subunit ribosomal RNA, internal transcribed spacer 1, and 5.8S ribosomal RNA
Source: RNAcentral
UCUCCGUUGGUGAACCAGCGGAGGGAUCAUUACAGAGUUGAAAAACUCCAACCCCUGUGAACCUACCUUUACUGUUGCUUCGGCGGACGAUGGCCCCCCGGGCCGGAAGCCGCCGGAGGACCCCUAAACUCUGUUUCUAUAUGUAACUUCUGAGUAAAACCAUAAAUAAAUCAAAACUUUCAACAACGGAUCUCUUGGUUCUG